GGUGGGCGCAGCUCCAGCUACAAGUAAAAAUGAUCAUGGAAAAACACAAGGUUCUGGUUUGGGCAAAAUCCCCAAUUGCUGCGAUGUAAUGCUCUCUCCUUAACCAAUGACUCAAGCAGCGAUGCCCACUGUAAUGGAGCUUCCUCUAUUCACGACCUUUCAAUCUGUUUCUUGUGUAUCUCUGUGUCCUUUCUCUUCAAAGUGCGCCUUCUAUGGCCGCUUUAUUUGCCGCGUGAAGUUGAGUAAGAGAUUGGGUUCUAGUAACUCUAACCGCUCUCUUCGAAUAUCCAUGAGUUCUGUAGAGAAGGAUGGAGAUUAUAAUGGUGUGAGUUUCUUGGGGAAUUCUCAGUUCGUUGAAGUGAUUGGCAUUGGUAGCAGGAUGGAUGCUGUUCUCGAUUUCUGCUUGGAUUCGCCUUUCCAGUUAUCGUCGUCGCUGAGAUUCUGGAAUAUUAACGUCAAAGAUCCUCUGAAUGUGCAAUUACAAGAAAGAAUUCCUGGAAAAGAUCUUAAUCCGAGGGUUUUGGAAGCUUCCCAGUUUCUGCGAUCUUGUUCAACAGCUAUUAUCCUUGUGGCUAGUGCUGGAUAUGGCUUGGAUCAUGUUACAGCAAUCGAUUUACUUAAAACAGUAAGAUGUAGAAAUGGAUUUGCAGUUUCUAUUUUCCUGAGGCCUUUCAGCUUUGAAGGACAAAGGCGCCAGGAUGAGGUGAAAAAUUUGGCAGGAAAGCUUCAAGAUCAUACAAAUUUUUGCAUUGAUAUUGACACUGACGCAUUACUAAACAAGGAUUUGGUCACUCUAGAUGAGGCUUUGAAGUCUGCAAAUAGUGCUGUUCUGUUGGCCAUAAAUGCCAUCUCGGUUCUCAUCUCAGAGACACACCAGAAGUUAAUUGGUAUACUACAUAAUAGCGUGAAAGAACUCAAAGUUUCAGAGGUUAUGAAAAUUCUGGAAAGCCACAAAGAAGCAAAAAUUGGAUUUGGAGCUGGUAACAGCAUCGAAAGUUCAAUUAUACAAGCUUUAUAUGACUGUCCUUUCAUGGGUGCUGGUAUUGAGAACUUAAAUGGCAUCAUUAUUUGCAUCGUUGCAAGUUCAGGUUUCAUUGAAAAUGAAGAUGUACAUACCUCUUUGCUUACUUUUCGUCAAACUGCAGCAUACAUGGGGAAAAUCAUUAUUUCUACAACUCAUGAACCUAAUCUGGAUCAUGACAUGAUAGUAACUACAGUUGUUGCUGUGGGCUGCAGUGAAGAGCAGACUCCACAGAGAGGUAGCUUGUUAUCCAGACUGGCCUGGCAUUUCCCUUUUGUUUUUAAACUUUUAGGGAGACACGGUCAACAACCAGAUGAUAUUGAAGGAAUCAAUGGUAUUGAUGAACACUCUGAGGAACAUGAGAUGCUACCAAACAGCAAAUGCAAUGACAUCUACAGUUCAAGGAGUUAUGGUAGUGAAGCUAAAGAAAACGAGAUUGGUUUAUUAGAUGGCAGGGGCAACUCUUCUGAUUUUUAUGACCAACUUGCUGAAGAAACUCCUGCCCUCCACAGGGAGCCACCUGUUAGUUGGAACUUGGGACCAGGAUAUCAGAUUGCACAAGAGUGGGCCAGAGAAAGGACUGGAGCUACUUCUGUGCUUGAUACCCUGAGCAUCUUCCGCCUUCCAGUUGGUGUAAGGCAUCCAGAAGAAUCUAAAGAGGGUCUGAAUAUCUCAUAUGCUGCAGAACUCCCAGAGCUAAAAACUGAGGGUGAUGACAAAGAACAAAAGCAUGUUAAUUCCGGAAUCUCUUCUUGGGGGGCAUUGACUGAUGCUGGUUUUGUUUUAGUAAGAGAUUUUUAUAAUAAUGCAUCUACAAUGUUAAAGGGUAGAAAUGCUGAUGUACCAAAAAAACAAGGAGUUCUUUCUGUUCGUGCUGCAUCUAUGCUGGUAAUCAACUAAUUCUACAAUUUAAAGUGGCUGCAUUUUAACACAUUUAGAUAUUUAGAGCCAAGUGUGAACCCAAGGAAUUAUAGCUUUCUAUCUUGCUUUCUGGUGUUAAGAAAUGAUGUUAACCUCAUGAAAUGGUAUGCUUUUUUCUAGUUUUUGUUAGUGGGGUUAACCCAUCCUUUUCAGCACUUCAAGGACUUCUGUUCUAAUUGUUUAGUUCCAUCCAGGAAGCUGAGCGAGAUUCCCCAAAAAAGUGGAGUCCUGUUAUGGAGAUGCAGUACAGAGGGGGGGUGUAUAGAGGGCGAUGCCAAGGAGGUCUUCCUGAAGGGAAGGGCCGUCUUAUCCUUGGAGGUGGAAGCAUAUAUGAUGGUAUGUGGCGUUAUGGCAAGAGAUCAGGUUUAGGUGCAUUCUACUUUAGAAACGGAGAUGUGUUUCAGGGGUCAUGGAGGGAUGAUGUGAUGCAUGGCAAGGGUUGGUUUUAUUUCCACACUGGAGACCGAUGGUUUGCAAACUUUUGGAAGGGAAAGGCCAAUGGUGAAAGCCGUUUCUAUUCAAAGUCUGGUGAAGUCUUUUUUGGUCAAUUCCAAGAUGGAUGGCGACAUGGCCACUUUCUUUGCAUUGAUGUUGAUGGAGCAAGGUUUGUGGAGACAUGGGAUGAAGGUGUUCUCGUGAGCCGGAAGCACCUGAACUAUGAUAGUGAUGCUGGUUAGAAAUUUUUGUUUUUUUUUUUUAAAAAAAAAUUAUAAUAUUUUUCAGUUGCCUGUAUAUCCCCUAUGUAUUUCACUUGUAUGCCGUAAGAAGUUUUGAACAAGAACGUUCAGGACCUUUGUGCUGUGCAUUGUACUUUCCGGUAACCCCUCAUUUUUAUUGACCUUCAUACUCGUUAAGGU
RNAcentral lists this unclassified non-coding RNA (2799 nucleotides) under Hevea brasiliensis (rubber tree). Lineage: Eukaryota; Viridiplantae; Streptophyta; Magnoliopsida; Malpighiales; Euphorbiaceae. The record is from RNAcentral.